UAUAAGUUAACUUUUUGACUUUUGGUCAAACAUUUUCUUGCUACUUAAGCAGUUUUGCUGAUGACAAUCUAUAGCAGUGUUGGGAAGAGAAACCACGUUAGUUACUUUGAAUUGCCAUAUGCAAAAAUGCCAACCUUGGAUGACAUUCUAGAGCACAUUGGGGAAUUUGACUUGUUCCAGAAACAAGCCACUUUUGUCUUAUGCUUUGUGUCUGCUGCUUUCUCCUCUGUUUAUGUGGGUGUUGUCUUCCUGGGGUUCACUCCUGAGCACCGCUGUCUCAGUCCUGGUGCUGCUGAGCUGAGCAGCAGAUGUGGCUGGAGUCUGGAAGAGGAGCUGAAUCUCACAGUUCCAGAACAGGGGAGACCUGGGGAGUCUCUCUCUAGUCAGUGCAGGAGAUACGACGUGGACUGGAACACGACGGGCCUCAGCUGCACCAACCCCUUAGAGAACUUCACUGGUUAUGGCAACAGGAGCAGCAUCCCGCUCGUCCCCUGUCAAGAUGGCUGGGUUUACGAUUCUUCAGGAUCAUCCAUUGUGACUGAGUUUAACCUAGUAUGUGAGGACUCCUGGAAGGUGGAUCUCUUUCAGUCCUGUGUGUGUGCUGGCUUUUUUAUUGGAUCUAUAUGUGUCGGCUACAUGGCAGACAGGUUUGGCCGUAAAUUUUGCCUUAUAGUGACAAGUCUUGUAAGUGCCACCGCUGGAAUUCUUGUGGCCUUAGCACCAAGCUACCUGUGGAUGGUGAUCUUUCGGUUCCUACAAGGAUUCGUCAGCAAGGGCAACUGGGUAGCAGGCUACAUCCUGAUCUCAGAAGUUGUUGGCCCAAGCCAUAGGAACACAGUGGGAAUUCUCUAUCAAGCGGCCUUUACAUUUGGACUCAUCCUGCUUGAUGGUCUUGCUUAUGCUAUUCCUCACUGGAGAUGGCUGCAGAUUACUGUUACUCUACCAUACUUCUUCUUCCUGUUCUAUUACUGGUGUCUGCCUGAGUCUCCAAGGUGGCUGAUGUCUCGGAGGCAAAAUGAUAAAGCUAUGAAGAUUGUGGGCUAUAUUGCCAAAAAGAAUGGGAAACAGCUGCCUGCCCAUUUUCAGAAUAUUAACCUUGAAGAAGAAGAUGGGGAAAAACUGAGUCCUUCAUUCAUGGAUCUUUUUAGGACACCUCAGAUGAGGAAACACACAUUCAUUUUGAUGUACAACUGGUGGACAAGCUCUCUUCUGUACCAGGGGCUCAUCAUGCACAUGGCAAUGGCUGGUGAGAACAUGUAUCUAGAUUUCUUCUAUUCUGCCCUUGUUGAAUUACCAGCUGCCUUCAUUAUCAUCAUUACAAUCAAUUGCGUGGGCCGUCGCUAUCCCUGGGCUGUGUCAACUCUGGUGGCAGGAGCUGCCUGCCUUAUUACAGUUUUAGUCCCUGAGGAUAUUCACUGGCUAAAAGUGAUUUUAUGUUGCAUUGGGAGAAUGGGAAUUACAAUGUCCUUCGAAAUGGUUUGUUUUGUAAACAUGGAGCUGUACCCAACUUUUCUGAGGAACCUUAGUGUAAUGGUCUGCUCUUCUCUGUGUGAUGUCAGUGGGAUGCUAGCCCCAUUCAUCGUCUAUAGACUGGCAGAGAUCUGGCGUGAGUUGCCACUUAUAGUUUUUGCUGUGGUUGGUUUAGUUGCUGGUGGAUUGGUGAUGUUGUUACCUGAAACCAAAGGGAAAAUGUUGCCUGAGACUAUUGAAGAUGUAGAAAACUUGCAUAGGAAAUACAAAUGUGCUUACCAGUAAUAGAGCAAGAAGAAGAAAUUUGGCAGGGUAACAGCGAGUUGCAGCCAUCUCCAGUGAGGAACCAAAUAAGCAAUAGCAGAGAGUACAAGGAGUCCAACAGUAAAUGCUACUUGCAAGUGAAAUCCUGCCCUCGUUGAAGAGAAAGGGAAUUUUACCACUGACGUCAGUAAGGCCAGGAGUUCAUCCAUUAACUUGUUUUGAGGACAAAGAAUGUGUUUAUCUAUUCGUUCCUUGCAUUGAAGUGCUUUGCUAAAUGUAAAUAGUAAGUACAAUAUUGUCACAUGGGAAUCUUACCUUGCCUGGAAAUAAAGUUUUUUUUAUAAAGUGUGAAGUCAUGGAACCACAAAAAGUCUGGGGAACACAAACUUCAUUUUGGACACUACUCCUAACUUUUGGAAGCCAGCCCCACUCAGGCGAUAUGUAUGGGUAUGUAUACACUACAGCUGGGGGUGUACGUCUCAGCCUGGGAACACAAAUGUACUAGCUCAGCUCAAGCUAGUGUGCUAAAGAUAGCAGCACGGAUGUUAUGAUACAGCCAGUGAUGUGGGCUAGGCACCCAAAUAGCAGCUCCUUCAAUCCAUACUUAGAUGGCUAGCCUG
Molecule: non-coding RNA, 2354 nt
Organism: Pelodiscus sinensis (Chinese soft-shelled turtle)
Lineage: Eukaryota; Metazoa; Chordata; Testudines; Trionychidae
Source: RefSeq, a predicted model, not a curated record